RNAcentral lists this ribosomal RNA (500 nucleotides) under uncultured bacterium. RNAcentral's name for it is "partial 16S ribosomal RNA". It matches the Rfam family "Bacterial small subunit ribosomal RNA", at positions 30 to 523 of the family's 1533-position model. The record is from RNAcentral.
AUUGAACGCUGGCGGAAUGCUUUACACAUGCAAGUCGAACGGCAGCACGGGGGCAACCCUGGUGGCGAGUGGCGAACGGGUGAGUAAUAUAUCGGAACGUGCCCAGUCGUGGGGGAUAACGUAGCGAAAGUUACGCUAAUACCGCAUACGAUCUACGGAUGAAAGCGGGGGAUCGCAAGACCUCGCGCGAUUGGAGCGGCCGAUAUCAGAUUAGGUAGUUGGUGGGGUAAAGGCUCACCAAGCCAACAAUCUGUAGCUGGUCUGAGAGGACGACCAGCCACACUGGGACUGAGACACGGCCCAGACUCCUACGGGAGGCAGCAGUGGGGAAUUUUGGACAAUGGGCGCAAGCCUGAUCCAGCCAUUCCGCGUGCAGGACGAAGGCCUUCGGGUUGUAAACUGCUUUUGUACGGAACGAAAAAGCCUUGGCUAAUACCCAGGGUCCAUGACGGUACCGUAAGAAUAAGCACCGGCUAACUACGUGCCAGCCGCCGCCGUAA